This 492-nucleotide ribosomal RNA is filed under the name Zosterisessor ophiocephalus (grass goby). RNAcentral describes it as "partial 16S ribosomal RNA". It matches the Rfam family "Bacterial large subunit ribosomal RNA", at positions 1923 to 2567 of the family's 2925-position model. Lineage: Eukaryota; Metazoa; Chordata; Actinopteri; Gobiiformes; Gobiidae. The record is from RNAcentral.
UUUAACGGCCGCGGUAUUUUGACCGUGCGAAGGUAGCGUAAUCACUUGUCUUUUAAAUGAAGACCCGUAUGAAUGGCACGACGAGGGCCACGCUGUCUCCUUUACCUAGUCAAUGAAAUUGAUCUACCCGUGCAGAAGCGGGUGUAUUGCCAUAAGACGAGAAGACCCUAUGGAGCUUUAGACACUAGAUCAGACCGAGUAAAGACCCCCAAGCUAACGGGAAUAAACCACACGGAACCCUUUUCAACUGUCUUUGGUUGGGGCGACCGCGGGGAAAAACCAAACCCCCGCACGGAACGGGAUAAACACCCCUGAGACCAGCNCCACAGGCCCGGUCAGCAGAACAUCUGGCCACCAAGAUCCGGCAAUGCCGAUCGACGGACCCAGUUACCCUAGGGAUAACAGCGCAAUCCCCUUUUAGAGCUCACAUCGACAAGGGGGUUUACGACCUCGAUGUUGGAUCAGGACCUCCUAAUGGUGCAGCCGCUAUUA